GGAGNNNGUGGUUUAAUUCGAAGCAACGCGAAGAACCUUACCAGGUCUUGACAUCCUUUGACCACUCGAGAGAUCGAGCUUUCCCUUCGGGGACAAAGUGACAGGUGGUGCAUGGUUGUCGUCAGCUCGUGUCGUGAGAUGUUGGGUUAAGUCCCGCAACGAGCGCAACCCUUAUUACUAGUUGCCAGCAUUCAGUUGGGCACUCUAGUGAGACUGCCGGUGACAAACCGGAGGAAGGUGGGGAUGACGUCAAAUCAUCAUGCCCCUUAUGACCUGGGCUACACACGUGCUACAAUGGAUGGUACAACGAGUCGCGAAGUCGUGAGGCCAAGCUAAUCUCUUAAAGCCAUUCUCAGUUCGGAUUGUAGGCUGCAACUCGCCUACNGAAGCCGGAAUCGC
This 399-nucleotide ribosomal RNA is filed under the name Carnobacterium sp. AZTITEMP69. RNAcentral describes it as "bacterial SSU rRNA". It matches the Rfam family "Bacterial small subunit ribosomal RNA", at positions 934 to 1335 of the family's 1533-position model. Lineage: Bacteria; Bacillati; Bacillota; Bacilli; Lactobacillales; Carnobacteriaceae. The record is from RNAcentral.